AGAAUCCAGAUGCCAAGUAAAAAGAGAGGUCGCAGUUUCCCGUCUAUCUCCGCCAAGUGAGACCUUCCAGCUCCAGGCAACCCACCUGCCGAAUGCAGCUUCUUGAUCAAGCCCAGGCAAGACCAGCAAAAGAACCACCCAGCCAAGCCACAAAAUCAUGAGAAGCUGAAGCUUGGAUAUUGUCAUGACCCAGCUUUGACAGUGCAACUAAGGACAGCGUCCUACGGAUGGUGACGCACAACAAGAUGGGAAGCAGCCAGAUCCCCAACUGACCAGUCUGCACCACCCUGGUUUCUGGCCCCAGCAAAGCACCUGAUAAAAAAACAAGUGUUCAAUAAGCCUUUCCUGAUUGAUUGAAUGGGUGCCUGAAUUGGUAAGAACUAAAGCCAUAAAAAGUGAAUUGGAUUAAAUCUGAAGGGCCUGGGAUGUCCUGGAUAGGAACUUGGACUUUUACACUGCCCGCAUUAAGGUUCCAUGGAAAGUUUUCAAGUAGAGAGAAAGAACUUUGCGUUUUCUGGCUGCUCAGAAUCGUGUUAGCUGGCGACACCUGCUGGCCAUGCGGAACACUGCAGCCUAGCGCAGGCUGUGACUCCAGGGAGGAAGAGAUGAAGCAGUUGUUAAAUACUGAAAGUUACAAGUUAGAGGGCUUACACCUUGUGAUAAAUAACCUUUUGGAACUACUCCGGACCAGUCGGUGUGAUGGGUGCUGUCGUGGGGAUGGAGCAAACUUUAGACAUGGUUCCUGGUGUGGAAAUUUUAGGUUUCUUUUUUUUAGCGUUUCUGUCCCUUGCUCUUAAGUUUAUAAAAAAUGCCUCUUCAACAGCUGGCCCAGCUGACACAACAGCUGGCCCAGACAGAGCAACACCUGAACAGUCUGAUGGCCCGGCUGGACCCCCUUUUUGAGCGUGUGACUACCCUGGCUGGAGCCCAGCAGGAGUUUCUGCACAUGAAGCUACAGAGCAUCCAACAGCUGCUACAAGAGAGCAAGACAAAACAAGGGUGUGGAAGUUCCGGAACCAGAGGCCAGCAUACCCUUUCCUAAGGUCUUAUGUAUAGAGGAGGGCAAGGAAGAGGCUGGUGACAGACCCCAGAGGAGCCCCUAACCUGGAGCACAGGGACAAGGAACCUAGCAACACCCAGGGAAAUGGCGCGGGGGCUAAGGAGCAAAUGCAGGAAGGCGGCAGCAAAGGUCCUGUCACGGCCCCCAACUGGGAAGGAGGGACAACAGCUGACGGUUUAGUAAAACAAUCUGUUCUUAUGAAGGGAAAAAAAAAAAGCCUCUUGCACCCUCUCCUUCCUUCUGUAAUUCUUUCUUGUCCAUUUGCAUCGACUUACGCUUUUCUCAUUUCUACCAAAGGAGUAAGUUAUUUGAGCCAACUUGUGAUUUUGAUUAAAAAAAUAAAAUAAAAUAAAGAGCCAGAACCAAACUAAAAACCGCACACUGUGUGCACCGCAACGAAGAGCAGCCCUGCUCAGCGCAACUAGAGGAAGCCCGCGCGCAGCAGCGGAGACCCAACGCAGCCAAAACAAACAAACAAGCAAGCAAACAAGACCCCCCACUGUCGUAAGAAAUGAGCCAUUUUCUCGGAUGAGACGGUACACCGAGGUCUUUGGCUGGACCCGCUGGGGAGACUUUUCUCCGCUCUCAGUGUUGAGAGAAGAUGUUCUAUUCCUAAAAACCAGUCUGAUUGCACCUAAAGACGCUGUGCAGCGCCUGCAAUGAUCCUUUGCCCUUUAACUUUGGCCUCCGGAAAGAGACUUAGAGAAACUUUCUGGCCCCCUUUUAGCAACUGGAUAAGACUGUGCUUUUCUCUGUGCCAAUAUCAUACCUGAGUUUUAAAAAUCUUUUUUACGUUUUUGUAAGCCACUACAGAUCUCUAACACAACGUAUGACUAACCAUCGGAAUGACUGGCCCAGAUAAAAAGCGUCUAGGAAACCACAGGACCGGAGAUGUGAAGGAGGAGGGCCUUAGGAGAGGGUCUGUACCUGGAGGAGGGGCG
This is a long non-coding RNA of Physeter macrocephalus (sperm whale), 2001 nucleotides long. RefSeq lists it as uncharacterized. Lineage: Eukaryota; Metazoa; Chordata; Mammalia; Artiodactyla; Physeteridae. The transcript has 3 exons. The record is from RefSeq and is a predicted model, not a curated record.